GGCCGGAAUAGCUCAGU
Molecule: transfer RNA, 17 nt
Filed under: Pseudotaxiphyllum pohliicarpum
Lineage: Eukaryota; Viridiplantae; Streptophyta; Bryopsida; Hypnales; Plagiotheciaceae
Also listed under: 2 other names
Description: partial tRNA-Phe
Source: RNAcentral